GUUCUUUUCUUUAUUUUUUAUCUAGUUUUCUUUAAAACAUAAGAUAAAGUAGGAACUACUUUGUCUUAUGUAUUUUUUCCUACGCUUGACCUUCUUUGACCAAAGAAGGAGCUCAGCUCCAUUUCCUGUGAAGGGUGAGUAUUGUGGGAAAACGUUUUGUGACCCAGGAAAUCGAGCCGACUUAAGCUUCUCCUUGUGUCAGAGAAGGUCAGGCGUAGGAAAAAUACAAAAGACAAAGUAGUCUUAUGUUUUAAAGAAAAGAACAGAGGAAACCAUAGGAGAUAGGUAAGUUUUGUGUGCCAGUGCCGCUUUAAGAAUACAUUAGGAGGUCACUCUGAGUGUUGUGCACAGCUGGAAUAGACCAGAGAAAGCUCUCCAGCUCUUGCAGCAUAAAAACUCCCACAAUGCUUUGCUAGGUCAGCAGUGAUCAACACAGUAUGUACCAGUCUACAGGCACACGUUUCAUAACUUAUUCUGUGUUCAUAUAUUCUUUAUAAAAAUGUUGCCUUAAUCUUCGACUUCUCUUCAACUGAUGUAUUUAUUUAUAUGUAUCAAUUUUAGACUAAAUUUUGUAAUUAUCUGUCAAUUAUUUGCAAUUCCUGGUUUGAAAUUCCAUUGGCUGCUGGAAGGAUCUACAUUUUGCUUUUAGUAUUUAGUUAUGCUACAGUGUUGUAACUGCACAGACCAGAAAGAAUAGGUGCUGGAACCACAAAACAUGUUUUGUACAUAUUAUUAUGCCUUCAUUAUUUUCUGGUUAUAAUCCACCUAUAAGAGGUCUGUAAUUAAACAUGUGGUAUACAUUACCUGUAGUUGUUCCUAUAGAGCUUUUGCAAGAACUUGACCUAGGAUAAAAAUGUGAUCUUGAUUUGCUAUAGCCAUAGGUCAAGUGAAUGCUCAGUGCAAGGCUUGGUGCUUUCAAAACUUCAUGUCUGCACAUGUAGGCAACAACCUGUUCUGAUGUAGAACUUUCACUCUCAUGGUAAAAAAUUGUUUAUUUCUGAUGGUAGCAGGAAUAAAGAUCUGUGUAUGGUUUGUGAUGAGUUUGUGUGUUUUGUUGG
This is a non-coding RNA of Pelobates cultripes (western spadefoot toad), 1058 nucleotides long. The record is from the annotation of a GenBank genome assembly. Lineage: Eukaryota; Metazoa; Chordata; Amphibia; Anura; Pelobatidae.